CAGGCCUAACACAUGCAAGUCGAGCGGUAACAGAUCCAGCUUGCUGGAUGCUGACGAGCGGCGGACGGGUGAGUAACGCAUAGGAAUUUACCCGAUAGUGGGGGAUAACCUGGGGAAACCCAGGCUAAUACCGCAUACGUCCUACGGGAGAAAGGGGGCUUUGGCUCCCGCUAUCGGAUGAGCCUAUGCCGGAUUAGCUGGUUGGUGAGGUAAUGGCUCACCAAGGCGACGAUCCGUAGCUGGUCUGAGAGGAUGAUCAGCCACAUCGGGACUGAGACACGGCCCGAACUCCCACGGGAGGCAGCAGUGGGGAAUAUUGGACAAUGGGCGCAAGCCUGAUCCAGCCAUGCCGCGUGUGUGAAGAAGGCCCUCGGGUUGUAAAGCACUUUCAGCGAGGAAGAACGCCUGGCGGUUAAUACCCGCCAGGAAAGACAUCACUCGCAGAAGAAGCACCGGCUAACUCCGUGCCAGCAGCCGCGGUAAUACGGAGGGUGCAAGCGUUAAUCGGAAUUACUGGGCGUAAAGCGCGCGUAGGUGGCUUGAUAAGCCGGUUGUGAAAGCCCCGGGCUCAACCUGGGAACGGCAUCCGGAACUGUCAGGCUAGAGUGCAGGAGAGGAAGGUAGAAUUCCCGGUGUAGCGGUGAAAUGUGUAGAGAUCGGGAGGAAUACCAGUGGCGAAGGCGGCCUUCUGGACUGACACUGACACUGAGGUGCGAAAGCGUGGGUAGCAAACAGGAUUAGAUACCCUGGUAGUCCACGCCGUAAACGAUGUCGACCAGCCGUUGGGUGCCUAGCGCACUUUGUGGCGAAGUUAACGCGAUAAGUCGACCGCCUGGGGAGUCGGCCGCAAGGUUAAAAC
This 859-nucleotide ribosomal RNA is filed under the name uncultured bacterium. RNAcentral describes it as "bacterial SSU rRNA". It matches the Rfam family "Bacterial small subunit ribosomal RNA", at positions 43 to 900 of the family's 1533-position model. The record is from RNAcentral.